RNAcentral lists this long non-coding RNA (9181 nucleotides) under Sorghum bicolor (sorghum). Its description in RNAcentral is "long non-coding RNA (SBIC_LNC005884)". Lineage: Eukaryota; Viridiplantae; Streptophyta; Magnoliopsida; Poales; Poaceae. The record is from RNAcentral.
UCAGAGGGUGUUUGUGCUCAGUGCAGUUAUACUCCAGUGUGGCUUGCAAAUCUGGGUAAUGGUGUUUCAAUGUCAGCACCAAGUUCUCAUGGAAGAAAUCCUUGGGAUCUGCCUCUGGAAUCCACAGCUCAGUAGUCCAUCCCAUCCUUGCAUUAGCAGACUGUGGUGGAGGUGGAUCUUGCAUCUCCUCAUCUUCAGGCACUUCCUCCUGAGCUUCCACCCUUGAUUCCUCAUCUUCCAGCUCAGGAACUCCAUCCACAUGCUGUCCUCCUAGGUUGAACAUGGCACGGUACUCCUCAGCAGCCAUGCGUGCAGCACUACGGGUGCGGGGCGGCAUCUACAAAAAGUUUUUAGACAUAGAUCAGAUGGAUGCAAUAAUUUCACAAUAGAGCAAGAUAGAGAAGCAUAAACUUUUAACAAAUACAAGACCAUAGUGGGAAGCAUGAAGUAAGUAAAAUAAGGACCUAAAUUCUCGACCAUUUGCUAACUAGGUUUGCGUCCUACAGUCAACAAAGCUCUGAUACCAAUUUGUCACACCCAUAUUUUAAGAACAAAAUAGGAUGCAUAAAAGACUCAUAUGUGCCCCAGGAAUAGUCACACACAUAAGUAGACAAAUCUCAAAUGUACCAUUGCAGUGUUUAUUACAUAGCGGAAUAUAUAUCAAAUCACAUAGUCUCAUACAAAAAUGAUAGCAUAAAGUAAGCAACGCUCUCGACGGAAGCUCCACACAGGGACACUGUUGACUGGUUGACUCCAAACCUAGUACUCAUAACGAUAAUCUUCAUUCCAGUCAUCUUCGUUAUCAUAUCCUGAGGUGUUGGGAAAUUGCAAGAGUGAGCACAUAUCGUACUCAACAAGUAUAACCAGGGGUUCAUGAGGUUCAAAUAGCUGACACUGGUUUGACUGCAUUUAGCUUUUAAUAGUGGAUAGCAAGUUCAUAAUUAAUGAGUAAUUGUCAAGGUAGCAUAAUUAAUCCAUUAAUCCCAUGAUCAAGUGUAAGCAUAAUUAAUCUCAUAGCAUAAACGAUAAUCAAAUGAACCUAACAACUUAACAAGCUCAUCGUCGUCGCAGCAAGAACCCCCAAGGCCGCUCAUAACCGUGAGCACGGCUAGUAUACCAGUUUUACACUCUGCAGAGGUUGUACAUCUUUACCCAUGAGUCAUGAUUUACCCUUUCACCCGAGGUAGCUAAUCUCUUAACCCCCUUCCUAGGGAGGUCGGCAGGGAUCACUAUGAAGCCUUUCAAAAGUUCGUCUAACAUGUUAGGGCCGCAAGGUUUCCUUUGCGAGCAGAUAUAGAUACCCCCCUUCCGAAUGGCACAAUGACGCGCAGCCUAUACACAUAGGGACAGGGGCUCGCACUAUACCCGUGUCGGUUCAGCCCCUCCGCCCUUUCGGGUAACCUCUAACAAGCUAGAAAAGUUCUUCAUACUGAGCUAAAGCCAGAGCCAUUAUAGCCCUCAUGGUUGCACUGUUGUCCCGGUGAUCACUUACAGACAAGAUCUCAUAUCGUUAUUUGUCAUUCUUUUAUGUUCAUUGCAUAGCUAUUAAUCAUCUUACAAGAUCAUGGAUUGUAUCAAGCACUAGCACAUCUACACCAAAUGCAUAUCAAGUAGGUAGCAAGGAAUCCAUGUAACAAUCAUCUAUGAUUUUGCUAAGGUCGACAAGGUGAUAGCAUGCAUAUGAUAUAUAUGUGUAGUUAUAAGUGAAUAGGUAACAAGGAUAAUCCCAAGUUAUACUUGCCUUGCUCAAAGCUCUCCUGAGCUUGCUGGUCCUCAAAAGCUUGGGCUUGGUCACCAACGUACGGCUCACCGUCUAAUCCCAAUCAUCAAACAACAACGCGCAAUCCAAUGUAGACAAUCAUACACGAAGCAAACAAACUAUAAUUAGAACAGUACACCAAACAGUGGUAAAACAAAUAUAAAGGUUCACCAAAAUAUUCUACGCAGCGCUACGAUCACCUAAACGUAAAGUUCACGAAAAUCGGAAUUAAAACGCGGAAGAUAUGAAUUUUCUAAGAUUUCCUAUAGCGAAAUAAUUAAUUAAAUAGUACCAGAAAAUUAAAAAGUUUCAAAACUGUAAACUAAUGUUUCUAACAUGUAGAGCAUAUAAUUACGAACCCAACGCAAUUUGAAUGGAUAAAAACGGAGUUAAAAUGAUCAUUUUAUAAGCAUUAUAAAUUCAGUGGCAAAACUGUAAAUACUGAAAACGUAUUUUCGGAGUCAAACUGGUUGGUUUCCGUUUUCUAAAACAGAAAGCGUAUUUCUGAAAUCCGCUUUGGACUGCGGGUUUAUUCUUAAAAAGAGCAGGGACUCUUUAACAAAAAUACCCCCCGAAGGGGUAUCUUCUAAUCUCGGCCACCGGUUCUCGAUCCAACGGCUCCGAUCACUUGGGACCAAAACCGGCCGCCGCCGGCGACCUCCUUCACGGCGGCGCCAUGGACGCCACUUAGAAGCUCGCCGGCCUCGUCCAAACUCGUCGUUCCGUGCACUAAAAAUCCAGCCGAGAGCAUGGGGAGGUAGAGGAGGAGAUCGCGAGCUCACCUAGGGCGUUCUUGCGGUGGGAGAGGGCUCAGAGAAGAGCAACUGCGUGCGGCGGCGGAAUCCUCCCCGACGAGAUCCGAAACCGCUUGGUUUUAGGUGGCUAAGGCUCGGCUUCGCGUUUUAGAUGCAAAAGGGGUUCGCUGCGGUGCUAGGGAGCCUUAUAGAGAGGUUGGUUAGUCGAUUUGGCAAGGAAAUCCCGAGUAUCGCGGGAUUGGAUCACCUCCACGCGAGUUCGGUUCGGAACCGACUGGAGGAAGGAGAAGGGCGCCCUGACCUGCGGGUCCCGCGUCGCAGAGAGAGAAGGGCGGGGAGGGAAGCUGGGCCGCUCGCUGGGCCGACGCAAGGGGACAGGGCGCGCGCGGCCUGGCCUGCUGCUGGGCUUCGGCCACUGGCCCAGGCCGAGGUCAGUGGUGUGCAUUUUUUUUUUCUUUCCUUUUUUUUUUUCCAAAGUCUUUUCUAAAUAGAGUUUUGAAUGUAAUUAAAUUUUAGCCAAGGUAAAUCAACACAAAGUAAAAUAUGAUCCAGCAUGAAUGCACAGUCAAGGUUACUAAACCUAUGAUAAAUUUUAUGUCAACAAGAUUAUUCAUUCACUAAAUUAAAUACCCACAAAAAAAAUACUUAAUUAAAUCAAAUUAAAUCCUAUUAAUUCAAAAUCAAGUUUUGGGUGUUACAAACUCUACCCCCCUUAAAAUAAUCUCGUCCUCGAGAUUGAACGGUGCUUACUCGAACAGAUAUGAGUAUGAUUUCCUCAGAUCAUCCUCUCUUUCCCAAGUUGCCUCUGCUUCCGAAUGCCGAUUCCACAGUACUUUGCACAUUCUGAUGACCCGACUUCUGGUGACUCUCUCAGCUGUCUCCAAUAUUUUGACCGGAUACUCUUCAUAAGUGAGGUCACCUUUAACAGAGAGUUCUUCCAAUGGUAGUUGCUCCUCCGGUACACGCAAACACUUCUUAAGUUGUGACACAUGGAACACAUCGUGCACACCGGACAAACUUUCAGGCAAAUCUAACCGAUAUGCUACUUCUCCACGCCUUUCUAAAACUUUAAACGGACCAACAUACCUUGGAGCUAGCUUUCCCUUCAUAUUAAACCUCUUCACACUCCGCAUCGGUGACACUUUCAGAUAGACAUAAUCACCCACUUCAAAAGCCAACUCUCUCCUACGCGUAUCUGCAUAGCUUUUCUGACGAGAUUGAGCAACUCUCAAGUUAUCCCGAAUGGUCCGCACUUGUUGUUCUGCAUGUCUAAGCACAUCUGUCCCAAACACCUGAGUUUCUCCUGUCUGAUUCCAAAACAAAGGUGUCCUGCACUUACGACCAUACAGUGCCUCGAACGGUGCCAUCUUAAGACUCUGUUGAUAGCUGUUGUUGUAGGAGAAUUCUGCAUAUGGCAAACUCUUAUCCCAACUAGUCCCAUACUGCAAGGCACAAGCUCUCAACAUAUCCUCCAAUAUCUGAUUUAUCCUCUCGGUCUGUCCAUCUGUCUGUGGAUGAUACGCUGUACUGAAAUUCAACUUUGUUCCCAAGGAAUCAUGCACUGCUUUCCAAAAGUGAGAUGUGAAUUGAGUACCCCUAUCUGACACAAUCUUCUUAGGUACUCCAUGCAAACAAACAAUUCUUUCCAUGUAUAACUCUGCCAGCCGGUCUCCACUAUAUGAAGUUUUGACCGGUAUGAAAUGAGCAACUUUGGUUAAACGAUCCACUAUCACCCAUAUUGAGUCAUACCCUCUUUGUGUGCGUGGUAAUCCCACUAUAAAAUCCAUACCCACUUCUUCCCACUUCCAUUCCGGAAUCUUCAUUGGUUGCAACAGUCCUGCUGGCCUCUGAUGUUCAGCUUUCACUCGCUGGCAAGUAUCACACAAAGCAACAUACUCAGCUACAUCUCUCUUUAAACCAUACCACCAGUACUUCUGCCUCAGAUCUAGAUACAUCUUGGUGCUACCAGGGUGAAUGGAAUAGGCUGACUCAUGAGCCUCUCUCAGAAUCGUAUCACGAAUAGCCUUCACUUCCGGAACACAUAUCCUUUUUCCAAACCACAAUACACCAUUGUCAUCUAUUCUGAAUCCUGGUGCUUUGCCUGAUGCCACAUUCUGUGCUAUCUCCUUUAGUUUCUCAUCUUCCAAUUGUCCUUUCAAUAUCUCUUCCUCUAGGGUAGGAGUGAUCUCAAUUUCCGUAGCAUUUACUACCAUUCCCAAGUUCAAAUAUGCAAAUUCAGCACACAACUCCUCAGAUUCAGGUGUCGCCUGAAGCUCAUUAGCAUAUUUCUUUCUGCUAAGUGCAUCAGCUACGACGUUCGCCUUUCCAGGAUGAUAAUGCACUUCCAAGUCAUAAUCCUUUAUCAGUUCCAACCAUCUUCGUUGCCUCAAAUUCAGAUCUGUCUGAGUGAAGAUGUACUUCAAACUCUUAUGAUCAGUGUAUAUGUCACUCUUAUGCCCAAUCAAAUAGUGUCUCCAAAUCUUCAAUGCAUGAACCACAGCUGCUAACUCCAAAUCAUGAGUAGGAUAAUUCAGUUCAUGUUUCCUCAACUGUCUAGAUGCAUAAGCAACAACUCUACCUUCUUGCAUAAGAACACAACCCAAACCCAGACGGGAAGCAUCACAAUAGAUAGAGAAACUCUUACUCAGAUCUGGCAAAACCAACACAGGCGCAGUAGUCAAUCUCUUCUUGAACUCCUCAAAACUAGCUUGACACUUGUCAGACCACACAAACUUAGCAUUCUUCUCUAAUAGAGCAGUCAUAGGCUUUGCAAGUUUUGAGAACCCUUCAAUGAAUCUACGAUAGUAACCAGCUAGACCAAGAAAACUGUGAAUUUCACUUACAUCGGUAGGUGGUUUCCAAUUCAACACAUCUUUCACCUUACUAGGAUCCACUGCAAUACCACCAUUUGAGACAACAUGACCAAGAAAAGAAACUUCCUCCAACCAAAACUCACACUUACUACGCUUAGCAUACAACUUAUGUUCUCUAAGUUUCUGUAAGACCAAUCUCAGAUGUUCAGCAUGUUCUUCCUUGGUUUUAGAGAAUACCAGAAUAUCAUCAAUAAAGACCACCACAAACUUAUCCAGAUACUCCAUAAAUACUUUAUUCAUCAUGUACAUAAAGUAAGCUGGUGCAUUGGUCAAACCAAAAGACAUAACUGUAUACUCAUAUAACCCAUACCUUGUUGUGAAAGUUGUCUUUGGUAUAUCUGAAUUCCGAAUCUUCAAUUGAUGAUAACCAGAACGCAAAUCAAUCUUAGAGAACACACAAGCACCUCUUAGCUGAUCAAAUAAGUCAUCAAUCCUAGGCAAUGGAUAUUUAUUCUUGAUAGUGACCUCAUUAAGUGACCGAUAAUCAACACACAUCCUCUGACUACCAUCCUUCUUAUCAACAAAGAUAACUGGUGCACCCCAUGGUGAGGAACUAGGACGAAUGAACCCUUUAUCUUGCAAUUCCUUAAUUUGUUUCUUAAGUUCUUCUAGUUCCUUAACCCCCAUCCUAUAUGGUCUUUUAGCUAUGGGUGCAGUACCAGGUAGUAAUUCAAUAAUAAAUUCAAUGUCUCGGUCAGGUGGCAUACCUGGCAAUUCGUCUGGAAAGACAUCCGGAAACUCAUCCACUACUAAAUUCUGAGGAUCAACAUCAUCAGUCAGUUGGUUCACUUUAGCUGUGAGUGGUGCUUGCAUUGUUACAUCAACACUGAUUCUUUCUCCCUUUGGUGUUGUUAGAGCCACUACUCUCUCUUUGCAAUUAAUAUUUGUUUCAUGUUGCUUCAUCCAAUCCAAACCCAAGAUCACAUCUAUGCCUGAAGUUCUCAUAACCAUGGGGCUGAUAGGAAAAUCUACCCCCCUUAAAGAAAGACUUGCUGAGGGGCAACGUAAAGAAACUGGUAUAGUCCCACCCGGUGAAUUAACUAACAUAGGGGUGUUCAUUGCAACUAGUGGAAGGCUAUGAACUCUAACAAAUGCUUGUGAUAUGAAUGUAUGCGAAGCUCCCGAAUCAAAUAAAACUGUAGCAGGGAUAGAGUUGAUGCUGAACGUACCCAUCAUGAUUUCUGGUCCCUCCUGAACAGUUUCUGCUGCCACGUUGUUCACCUUUGCUGAAUUAGGAGUGGAUCUCCGGUCGUUGUACUGCGGAUUAAACUUCUCUGGACAAUCAUAGGACAUAUGUCCUUCCUUCCCACAACGGAAACACCUGGUAGGAGUGUUAGAGGCACUUCUUUUUGUGGAGUUGGCAUUUGGGUUCCCUGGGCGAGGUGCCUGCUGGCCAUGCUGCUGUUGAUUAUGGUUACGUUGUUGGAAUGGAGGACGUUGGUUCCCACUCUGUGACUGAUUCUGGAAACGCUGGGGUUGUUGGUUGCGGUUCCACUGACUAACUGGUCCCUGGAACCUCUGCUGAUGACCUUGAUGAGAACUGAAACGCUGACGGUUGUUGCUCCCAGAACCUUGGGCCAGCAUCCUUCUCUUCUUAUCCUGACUCUUCCGCAUAUUAUCAAGCACGAUAGCACGAUUCACAAGAGCCUGGAAGGUAGGAUAGGUGUUUCCAGCCAACUGCAACCUGAGUUCAUAGUACAAGCCCUUCAUGAAUAGACGCUGCUUAUCAGCAUCUUCCCUGACAUCAUUCGGAGCAUAGCGAGCCAACUGUUCAAAUGUGUCAUGAUAUUCUGCCACAGUCAUGGAGCCCAUCCUGAGUGAUCUGAAUUCUUCUUGUUUGAGCUCCAUCACUCCUUCAUUUAUAUGUCGAGCUCUGAAGUCUCUACAGAAUUCCAGCCAUGUGACAGGAGGAGCAGUGUUGGGACGAGCAGCUUGAUACGACUCCCACCAUGUCUGAGCUGCACCUUGAAGCUGUCCAGAAGCAUACAACACCUUCUCCAAGUCGUUGCACUGUGCUAUGUUUAGCUGCCUCUCCACAGCACGUAACCAAUCAUCUGCCUCCAUGGGAUCAGCUGAGUGUGUAAAUACUGGAGGUCUUCCCUUCAUAAACUCCCCACGCUUGUCCCUCACCUGAAUAGGUGGUGGUGUCGAUGGAGGUUGUUGCUGCAGGUGCUGCAUGAAAACGUGCAUCAUCUGAUUUUGGGUUUGCAUGAGUUCCUCCACGGUGAUUGGGGCAUUGCCACCAUUGCCAUUGUCAUUGCCAUUGCCACGGCCUCUGCCUCUGCCUCUUCCCCUUGCUGCCAUCUGCAUUCCAAGGUAUAUAAACACAUCUUAGUAAUGUCCAACAUGGCAAUUACAAGAGUUAACCGAAUCUGAAAUUUUCUGGGUAACAUCCAACAUCAGCAGAUCAGAAAAUCAGUAAUAUCUCGAGUUCCAGAAUUCAAAAGGACACAUGCUGUACACCGUUGGAAAGAUAAAGAAAUUGUCUACAACUUUCAUUUAGAUCAUAUUACCAGAUUCCAACGUUAGUUUAAUCAAAAACUGUGUACAACCGAAACUGUUCUAGAAUUCCAGACUGCGCAGAAACCUCAACUUUAAACAGUCAUAACUCACAGCUCAUAAUAGAUAAUAUGAUCAUUCUUGUGGCAUUGGAAAGAUAUGAAAGUCUACUUAUUCCCAGAAAAAUUUGAUGAACAUUGCACGAACAGAAUUUGAUUUAUUCCAGAAUCAUGGCAGACUGCUCCAGAAAACAGCAAAAGACAGAAACAGGAUAUGACCCCAACCCGCUAUUUAUUCAUGUUCUUACUUAAGGUUUUUAACUAGGGAACUUGUGGACAUGCCCACAAAGUCCCAGCACUCAUUACAAAAAUCCAAAUCACACAUAUUCAUAAUAACAAAUCAGCAAGCACACCAAGUUCACACCACACUAGCAAAAGACUCGAACUAACUCGCAACUACUAACGUUUACUAUUACAUAUGGGUUCUUUUUCUAUUCCUCGGGUGCAGCAUCCUUCAAGAUGGGUUCAACGUGCAGCCUCUUAUGAAGUUUGGGGCGGCCUAACUCCGCUCGAAGGUCAUCUGCUUCCCGUCGCUCUUUCUCCAUCAGUUUCCUCUCACGGUGCAGUUCAUUCUCCAACUCUAUCACCUUGAGUGUCAGCUCAUAGGUCAACUCCACUUGUGCUUGAAGCUUUGGUUGUGAAGCAUCUGCAACUUCUAUGGCCCAAGUCAUCUUCUCUGGUACAAAGCGAGGAUAGUGGUAUGUUGCAUUAUACUGAACAUCCUCAAAGCGUCUACCACGGUAAAAGAUCAAGGCCUGGUAAGCUGCAUCUGCCAUGCUCUCUCUCAUCGUGUCCCGGCUGAUUCGGGCAAUGUGUUUUGAUUCCACCUUUCGAAUCCCCUUAAUGGCAUCCAGUGUCUUGACUAUCAGCUCUGCAAUCCAAAGUGAUCUCCUCAGAGGGUGUUUGUGCUCAGUGCAGUUAUACUCCAGUGUGGCUUGCAAAUCUGGGUAAUGGUGUUUCAAUGUCAGCACCAAGUUCUCAUGGAAGAAAUCCUUGGGAUCUGCCUCUGGAAUCCACAGCUCAGUAGUCCAUCCCAUCCUUGCAUUAGCAGACUGUGGUGGAGGUGGAUCUUGCAUCUCCUCAUCUUCAGGCACUUCCUCCUGAGCUUCCACCCUUGAUUCCUCAUCUUCCAGCUCAGGAACUCCAUCCACAUGCUGUCCUCCUAGGUUGAACAUGGCACGGUACUCCUCAGCAGCCAUGCGUGCAGCACUACGGGUGCGGGGCGGCAUCUACAAA